CUGCCAGUAAAUAAAAAUGGCAUGUCGAUGUCUUGCUUUUCCCCACCUUCUUGGAGGGGUAUUUUAGCUCUGAGUGCAUAGCUGAGCACUCUGAAAAGCAUUCCGGAUGAGCAGCAUGUCGACUUAUGCCACGUUAUGGAAAGAGGUUGCUGUUUGCUGGUGGGCAGCUGUAAUUUGAGUCACGUGUGUGGGUUUAUUAGGCAUGGCUUCAGACAAACAGAGGGACUCAUUCCCUAUUUUACAGCCCAAGUGGUAUAAAAAUAACUUAAAAAGGGCUGGUGGUGGCUGGGCCUCUGGCUGCCAUGGGGCUGAGAGGAAGGGAUGCAUGUGUGGCUGUGCUGCACUGUGUGGGGUCUCACCUUCUGCUGUUUCCAUAGCACUAAGCUCUUACAUGGCCGGUAGAACUCAGGGCCAUUUGAGAAACCAUUGCUGAUAACCAAAAGGUUCAGGAGGUUUUAAUACGUUUAAGAGGGAAGGAAGGGAUAAGAGCUAAAUCUGGAAAUACGUAAAAGCUUGAUUCAACUGUGUGGCUGUAACUGCAGCUAUCAGAAAACCUACCUUUAUGAAGAAAAUGAAAUGCUGUUGCUGCUAUGUAAAAAUGUUCCUUUCCAAAAAUUCAGCAGUCUGCAAACGGAGAGGAAGUCAGGCCAAUAAACAAAAUCAGAUAAAAUGGAUUUUAUUCUGCCAACUGUUGAUGUAAUGAAAUAAUGAGGAAAAAUGCUGUAAACAGCACUUGUUUUAAAACACUGAAUCUCCAAAUCUAACUUUUCUUUUAAUUGGACUGUCAGGAUGGUGAGACCUCACAGUGCUUACAGGCACCCAUGAAAAACUCAAAAGGGAGAGAAGAAAUUCAUUAAAGCAGCUAAUUUCUAGCACAGUGCUGGUCUGUCUGUCCCUUUCUCCCUAUCAAUAUAAAUCGUAAGACUGAUUCCUUACUGCAAAACACUCUUUGUUACCAGUGGGUAGCUUGUUCCCUUUGAGUAGUGCUGAUAAAAUGUUCACCCUUGCUAAAGGGAGGGAAAAACCCCUCUGCUGUCAUGUGGGAACCAGAGCAAUUUGUGUGAGGCUUGUGUGUGAGGCCUUGGGCAUAAAAGGGUUAAGGAUAUCUGCAGGAAGUGUUCUUGAGAGGUUGCAUCAUCGCUUCAGUUUUAGUUUAUUAUGAUUUCUAUGUGUACACAAUUUAGCUUAGCACUAAUGUGUUGCCAUUUGACUAAUUAAAGUUGGGCCAACUGCACAGUGUCAGGUUGUGGAUUCUCCUGCUAAUUGCAUUGAGCUUUCUACCUGUUAAUUUAUUAAGAUAAAUAUUUUCAGAAGGCUUUGAUAAUUAUUAGCUAUUUGUGAAUUGUGCCUCUCACCUGUCACCAUCCUCUCAGCUUAUGUGUUCCCAAAACAGGAGGUUGGAGCAUUAUUCCCUACAACAUCCUGAUAACGUGCCAAGCAUGAGAUCUGAGAGAGAAAAUGAAGCUGGUAAUUGGAACUGCCUAAAAGUAGGGCAGGACUGGGUGUAGGCAGAGCAUCGGGUUGGGGGGAGUGUGCUCUGAUCCCAGCUCUCCCACUGCCUAUCGAUGUGAUCUCAUACUGAUUGUAUCAGACUUUCAGGGCUCAAUUCAGUAUCACAAAAAUCAAGAUCAUGGCACUGUUUGCAUUGCUCAGCGACACAUAACCUGGAUUGAAGGGUGCUGUGCUGAAUUAGAGACCUUUCAACAUAGCCCCGAGGUGGCAAGAAGGAAAAGCUUGGGCUGAGCCCAUCAGGGAGUACAGAGGUGACACUGCUGUUGUAGUGCAUGAUUGGAGACUGCUGCUCAGAACUAUGAGCCUCGUAAAUUUGUUGUGCAUACUAUGUAACAAGGCUGAAAUCUUCUGUAGACCAUGCUGUAAUGCCAGCACUAGCUACAGGGAGAUGUCUACACUCCUGUUCUACGGGUGUGAUGCUCUGACACAGUGCACACACCCAUAGUUGAUGUGAAAUUCAUUUCCAGUUGUGUGGAGAUGGAUUGAGGUUUGUGAGUACCAGAGAUGUUCUGUGGGACCUCGAACUUUCUUUAACUGCAUCCUCUUCCACCUUUGCUAGAGCCUGCAGUUUCAACUGCAUAACAGCAUUAAAAUUGACUUUGGAAUUAAUUUUAAAUAGAUGAAAUACUUGUGUCUUAGAAUCUUAUAGCAAAUGCCCAUAAUCUGGCGUAGCAAUUUUCUUUGAUUUCCAUCUUAAAUAUCUUCACGUAGAUAAGGGGUGUUUUGUACCCAUUCUUAAGAAACAGGCUCAGGGAUGGGUUAUGAAGAAACUUUUCUUGCCUGGCUUCUGCCGUGUGUUUUUUUGUUCCUUUCCAGCAGCAGCAGAACUGAAGACUUACGUGACUGAUGGAUUCAUUCAGGGCAUCUCGGAGGCAAAACCCUCACACCCAUUGCCAGCAGCCUGUGUGUGUGUGUGUGUGUUUGUGUGUGCUCAGGACCCUGGCAGCUCUCGGUGAGUGACAACGUGCUGUCGCUGUCAUCUGCACACGUGUGCAAUAUUAAUAACUGCUUCAGUGACCUUCACGUUUUCUUUCUAUGUGUCUCAGUAGAACUGAAGCAAUACACAAUUUUCCACAAGAAAUUACAGGCGAGUGGCUUAACGGAGAAAUCCACCCCCUCGUUUCCACUACCCUGUACAAAUAUUUCUAGAGCUGCUGGUGAACUUGUGCACAGUAAUGCACCGAGAGCAGCUUUCCAGGGUGGGAGCGCAGCCCAAGCCCUUGGGAUUGAUCCUGGGGAUCAGUGCCUUUUGUGGGAAACGGGCAGUGUGCUUUAUUCCCCACCCAGCUCUCAUCUCUUCAAGGCCAGGCUGGAUGUGGCUCUG
Long non-coding RNA from Gallus gallus (chicken), 2836 nucleotides. NCBI's taxonomy places the organism in Eukaryota, Metazoa, Chordata, Aves, Galliformes, Phasianidae. The record is from Ensembl.